Molecule: ribosomal RNA, 306 nt
Filed under: uncultured Planctomycetota bacterium
Lineage: Bacteria; Pseudomonadati; Planctomycetota
Description: bacterial SSU rRNA
Rfam family: Bacterial small subunit ribosomal RNA
Source: RNAcentral
AAUGAACGUUGGCGGCGUGGAUUAGGCAUGCAAGUCGCACGCUUUAUGUAGCAAUACAUGAGGAGUGGCGUAAGGGAGAGUAAUGCAUGGUUAGCUACCCUUGGGACUGGGAUAGCGGCGGGAAACUGCCGGUAAUACCAGAUGACAUCUUCGGAUCAAACGUGUGAAACGGCCCAAGGAGGUGACCAUGUCCUAUCAGCUAGUUGGCGGUGUAACGGACCACCAAGGCUAAGACGGGUAUGGGGCGUGAGAGCGUGCCCCCACUCACUGGGACUGAGACACUGCCCAGACACCUACGGGAGGCAG